RNAcentral lists this ribosomal RNA (279 nucleotides) under uncultured bacterium. RNAcentral describes it as "partial 16S ribosomal RNA". It matches the Rfam family "Bacterial small subunit ribosomal RNA", at positions 506 to 784 of the family's 1533-position model. The record is from RNAcentral.
UGCCAGCCGCCGCGGUAAUACGGAGGGUGCAAGCGUUACUCGGAUUUACUGGGCGUAAAGAGCACGUAGGCGGUCUACUUAGUCGGAUGUGAAAUCCCUCGGCUCAACCGGGGAACUGCAUUCGAAACUGGUAGGCUUGAGAGUGGAAGGGGUGAGUGGAACUCCAGGUGGAACGGUGAAAUGUGUAGACAUCUGGAGGAACAACGGUGGCGAAAGCGACUCACUGGUCCAUCUCUGACGCUGAGGUGCGAAAGCUAGGGUAGCAAACGGGAUUAGAUA